UUUCAAAAUAAAUAUGAGGUAAAUAGAGCUAGGAACUAAAACAAAUGGGAAGAUUACUUAGAUGUAACUACAAUUUUGUAUUGCAUAUCAAGUUCUAAUUUAAGUUACUAUCUUAUUUCUGUACAGCUAAUUGUAGAGUCUAGGUUAAUAAAACAAGAGAAAUAUGGAUUUGGUAUAUGGCCUUUGCAUCUUUGGUUGUAGCUAUGAGAAAUAAUCUAUAUUCACAUUUAACAGAAAAUACAUUGAUUUAGAACAACUUUAUGUAGUUAUUUCACUUUGACAAGAGAAAAGACAAGAUGAACUGUCAUAUAAUAACUGAAAUUAAAUCUUCAUUUGGUAUGAAAAGAAUUUGUAUCUCAUUUCCAAAAACAUGAUUGUACCCCAUAGGAAUUUGUUAUCUAAAUUUAAAGGCUUAACAAAAACUACACAGAGUUGAAGAUGCUUUGUUAAUUACUGAAUAAAUUGGGAUUUUUGAUAAUCAUUUUAUAUUCUCUUCUUGUUACCCCUUUUUAUUUAAACAGGUAUUGGAAAGGUGAAAAGAAAACCUAGUGUACCAGAUUCUGCAUCUCCAGCUGAUGAUAGUUUUGUUGACCCAGGGGAACGUCUCUAUGACCUCAACAUGCCUGCUUAUGUGAAAUUUAACUACAUGGCUGAGAGGGAGGAUGAAUUAUCAUUGAUAAAAGGGACGAAGGUGAUCGUCAUGGAGAAAUGCAGUGAUGGGUGGUGGCGGGGUAGCUACAAUGGACAAGUUGGGUGGUUCCCUUCAAACUAUGUAACUGAAGAAGGUGACAGUCCUUUGGGUGACCAUGUGGGUUCUCUGUCGGAGAAAUUAGCAGCAGUUGUCAAUAACCUAAAUACUGGGCAAGUGUUGCAUGUGGUACAGGCUCUUUACCCAUUCAGCUCAUCCAAUGAUGAAGAACUUAAUUUUGAGAAAGGAGAUGUAAUGGAUGUUAUUGAAAAACCUGAAAAUGACCCAGAGUGGUGGAAAUGCAGGAAGAUCAAUGGAAUGGUUGGUCUGGUGCCAAAAAACUAUGUUACCAUUAUGCAGAAUAAUCCAUUAACCUCAAGUAUGGAACCAUCACCUCCACAGUGUGAUUACAUUAGGCCAUCACUCACUGGGAAGUUUGCUGGCAAUCCUUGGUAUUAUGGCAAAGUCACCAGGCAUCAAGCAGAAAUGGCAUUAAAUGAAAGAGGGCAUGAGGGGGAUUUCCUCAUUCGUGAUAGUGAAUCUUCGGACAGAGUGGUGCACCUUCUUUCCCUUACUUCCCACUUACCUUGUUCUGAGGAGGCAG
Microcebus murinus (gray mouse lemur) is the source of this 1292-nucleotide non-coding RNA. NCBI's taxonomy places the organism in Eukaryota, Metazoa, Chordata, Mammalia, Primates, Cheirogaleidae. The record is from RefSeq and is a predicted model, not a curated record.